GACGAACGCUGGCGGCGUGCUUAACACAUGCAAGUCGAACGGAAAGGCCCUGCUGUUGUGGGGUGCUCGAGUGGCGAACGUGUGAGUAACACGUGAGUAACCUGCCCUUGACUUUGGGAUAACUUCAGGAAACUGGGGCUAAUACCGGAUAGGAGCUCCUGCUGCAUGGUGGGGGUUGGAAAGUUUCGGCGGUUGGGGAUGGACUCGCGGCUUAUCAGCUUGUUGGUGGGGUAGUGGCUUACCAAGGCUUUGAGGGGUAGCCGGCCUGAGAGGGUGACCGGCCACAUUGGGACUGAGAUACGGCCCAGACUCCUACGGGAGGCAGCAGUGGGGAAUAUUGCACAAUGGGCGGAAGCAUGAUGCAGCAACGCCGCGUGCGGGAUGACGGCCUUCGGGUUGUAAACCGCUUUCGCAUGUGACGAAGCGUGAGUGACGGUAAUGGGUAAAGAAGCACCGGCUAACUACGUG
This 468-nucleotide ribosomal RNA is filed under the name uncultured bacterium. RNAcentral describes it as "partial 16S ribosomal RNA". It matches the Rfam family "Bacterial small subunit ribosomal RNA", at positions 28 to 507 of the family's 1533-position model. The record is from RNAcentral.